Molecule: ribosomal RNA, 684 nt
Filed under: Triticum aestivum (bread wheat)
Lineage: Eukaryota; Viridiplantae; Streptophyta; Magnoliopsida; Poales; Poaceae
Description: partial small subunit ribosomal RNA
Source: RNAcentral
AUGCCUAACCUCGACGAGUCCAUCCCUUCAAUGGGAAAAAUGAUGGCCAUGGUGGACGAUGAUGCACCCCCCACAUGGUUCCAUCAAGAUGAAGAUGACAACGAGACGAUCUUCAACACCUCACCUACAACACAUGAGCGACGCUCCAAAGGUAACAUAGGUGAUGGUGCUUCUCUUGUCCCACUAGUGGACUCUCUUGACAUCGAUUGCUCCCAUGAUGUUGACCCACCUAUUCCCAUGCUUCAUGCUAGUGAUACUUCUUCAUGCCUUGACUUACCUAUUUAUGAUGAAUAUGAUGAUGAGCAUGUUGAGUUGCCUAGUUGUGAUGCUAUGCUCCAUAGGAUAUCAUGUGAAAAUUCUAUUGGUCACGUCAUGUUUGAUAAUCCUUUAAACUUGUCAUAUGCUAUGAGUGAGAUCUCCCAUAUUGCAUCAUUACAAUCUCAACAUAGUAACUAUGCAUGCCCCAUUAAAAUCAAUCUCAUUUGCACUUAUGGCAUAGAUGACGAGAUGAUGGUCAUUGGCUUUUGUUUUUCAUGUGAUGAUAUUGCCAUGUUUCCUUUACAUGAUUUGCGCAUUUCAUCUACUAUGCCAUGCCAUGAUCACACUGUUCCAAAUAUGCAUUUGGAUGUUGUCAAUAUUCUCCACGUGAUGUUUCUACUCUUGCUCAUGAGGAGAUCCCCAUAG